UACGGGGGAGCAAGCGUUGUUCGGAUUUUCUGGGCGUAAAGGGCGCGUAGGCGGCCCCCGCAAGUCGAUUGUGAAAUCUCCGGGCUUAACUCGGAAAGGUCAACCGAUACUGCGGGGCUAGAGUGCAGAAGGGGCAACUGGAAUUCUCGGUGUAGCGGUGAAAUGCGUAGAUAUCGAGAGGAACACCUGCGGCGAAGGCGGGUUGCUGGGCUGACACUGACGCUGAAGCGCGAAAGCUAGGGGAGCGAACGGG
Molecule: ribosomal RNA, 253 nt
Filed under: uncultured bacterium
Lineage: Bacteria
Description: partial 16S ribosomal RNA
Rfam family: Bacterial small subunit ribosomal RNA
Source: RNAcentral